UCCAGACUCCUACGGGAGGCAGCAGUGGGGAAUAUUGCACAAUGGGGGAAACCCUGAUGCAGCGACGCCGCGUGAGUGAAGAAGUAAUUCGUUAUGUAAAGCUCUAUCAGCAGGGAAGAAAAUGACGGUACCUGAGUAGGAAGCCCCGGCUAACUACGUGCCAGCAGCCGCGGUAAUACGUAGGGGGCAAGCGUUAUCCGGAUUUACUGGGUGUAAAGGGAGCGUAGACGGCAGCGCAAGUCUGGAGUGAAAUGCCGGGGCCCAACCCCGGAACUGCUUUGGAAACUGUGCAGCUAGAGUGCGGGAGAGGUAAGCGGAAUUCCUAGUGUAGCGGUGAAAUGCGUAGAUAUUAGGAGGAACACCAGUGGCGAAGGCGGCUUACUGGACCGUAACUGACGUUGAGGCUCGAAAGCGUGGGGAGCAAACAGGAUUAGAUACCCUGGUA
RNAcentral lists this ribosomal RNA (445 nucleotides) under uncultured bacterium. Its description in RNAcentral is "bacterial SSU rRNA". It matches the Rfam family "Bacterial small subunit ribosomal RNA", at positions 330 to 792 of the family's 1533-position model. The record is from RNAcentral.